This 302-nucleotide ribosomal RNA is filed under the name uncultured bacterium. Its description in RNAcentral is "partial 16S ribosomal RNA". It matches the Rfam family "Bacterial small subunit ribosomal RNA", at positions 508 to 807 of the family's 1533-position model. The record is from RNAcentral.
GCAGUAGCCGCGGUAAUACGAAGGGUGCAAGCGUUAAUCGGAAUUACUGGGCGUAAAGCGCGCGUAGGUGGUUUGGUAAGAUGGAUGUGAAAUCCCCGGGCUCAACCUGGGAACUGCAUCCAUAACUGCCUGACUAGAGUACGGUAGAGGGUGGUGGAAUUUCCUGUGUAGCGGUGAAAUGCGUAGAUAUAGGAAGGAACACCAGUGGCGAAGGCGACCACCUGGACUGAUACUGACACUGAGGUGCGAAAGCGUGGGGAGCAAACAGGAUUAGAUACCCGGGUAGUCCCUGUCUCUUAUAC